RNAcentral lists this ribosomal RNA (74 nucleotides) under Symbiodinium sp. RNAcentral's name for it is "partial 5.8S ribosomal RNA". The record is from RNAcentral. Lineage: Eukaryota; Dinophyceae; Suessiales; Symbiodiniaceae.
AACCAAUGGCCUCCUGAACGUGCGUUGCACUCUUGGGAUUUCCUGAGAGUAUGUCUGUCUGCUUCAGUGCUUAA